RNAcentral lists this ribosomal RNA (253 nucleotides) under uncultured bacterium. RNAcentral's name for it is "partial 16S ribosomal RNA". It matches the Rfam family "Bacterial small subunit ribosomal RNA", at positions 524 to 776 of the family's 1533-position model. The record is from RNAcentral.
UACAGAGGGUGCAAGCGUUGUUCGGAAUUACUGGGCGUAAAGGGCUCGUAGGCGGCCAACUAAGUCAGACGUGAAAUCCCUCGGCUUAACCGGGGAACUGCAUCUGAUACUGGAUGGCUUGAGUUCGGGAGAGGGAUGCGGAAUUCCAGGUGUAGCGGUGAAAUGCGUAGAUAUCUGGAGGAACACCGGUGGCGAAGGCGGCAUCCGGGACCGACACUGACGCUGAGGAGCGAAAGCCAGGGGAGCAAACGGG